Gambusia affinis (western mosquitofish) is the source of this 102-nucleotide long non-coding RNA. RefSeq lists it as uncharacterized. The transcript is spliced from 3 exons. The record is from RefSeq and is a predicted model, not a curated record. Lineage: Eukaryota; Metazoa; Chordata; Actinopteri; Cyprinodontiformes; Poeciliidae.
CUGAGACACAUUCAACACAUUAGAAACCAAUCAGAACCAAAAGUUUGUCUUUUGGUUCUGAUUGGUUGUUUCUGGACAGUAGCAGAGCCAGAGGACUUUUCA